This 254-nucleotide ribosomal RNA is filed under the name uncultured bacterium. Its description in RNAcentral is "partial 16S ribosomal RNA". It matches the Rfam family "Bacterial small subunit ribosomal RNA", at positions 524 to 776 of the family's 1533-position model. The record is from RNAcentral.
UACGUAGGUGGCAAGCGUUAUCCGGAAUUACUGGGCGUAAAGCGCACGCAGGCGGUCUUUUAAGUUUGACGUGAAAGCUCCCGGCUUAACUGGGAGAGGUCGUUUGAAUACUGGAAGACUUGAGGCAAUGAGAGGGGUGUAGAAUUCCUGGUGUAGUGGUGGAAUGCGUAGAUAUCAGGAGGAAUACCAGUGGCGAAAGCGGCACCCUAGCGUUGUUCUGACGCUCAUGUGCGAAAGCGUGGGGAGCGAACGGG